CCCAACUAUCCCUAUUAAUCAUUACGUCAAUCCUAGAAACCAACAAAAUAGGGUCAAACGUCCUAUUUCAUUAUUCCAUGCUAAUGUAUUCAAGCUAAUGCCUGCUUUAAACACUCUAAUUUUUUCAAAGUAACAGUCCUAACUCCCCAUGACACCAAAUAAAUGAAAUCAUGGUUCGUCAGAAGGGAGAAAUCAAUGAUACCAGUACGUACCAGAGGCACGACCGAUAUAUUGAUCCCGAAAUUCAACUACGAGCUUUUUAACUGCAACAACUUUAAUAUACGCUAUUGGAGCUGGAAUUACCGCGGCUGCUGGCACCAGACUUGCCCUCCAA
This 334-nucleotide unclassified non-coding RNA is filed under the name uncultured Glomerales. Its description in RNAcentral is "sequence contains 18S rRNA gene". The record is from RNAcentral. Lineage: Eukaryota; Fungi; Glomeromycota; Glomeromycetes; Glomerales; Glomeraceae. RNAcentral also lists the same sequence under 1 other name.